RNAcentral lists this unclassified non-coding RNA (23 nucleotides) under Arabidopsis thaliana (thale cress). Lineage: Eukaryota; Viridiplantae; Streptophyta; Magnoliopsida; Brassicales; Brassicaceae. The record is from RNAcentral.
AGUCCAAACGAAAGAGACAACUG